GUGCUCCUGCGUUCCCUUGGUGUCACGCCAGCUUCACACCUCCGCAGAGCUGUCAAGGGGGCUCCCAUUUCCACCUAUGAUAAGUGCACCAUAUGAAAACCUGUUUCCUGGAGGCCUUUUUGAUGACAAGCUCCUGAGCACUGGGGGUCUCCAGCACAAACUCCUCGAGGUCCGCCUGGGCACUUGCAUGGGCAGAUUUUGGUGCUUUCCCAAUCUUCUUGGGACAAAGGUGCUGUCCCCAGAAGACAGUUGCCAUACUCUGAUUGACACAGAAACUGAAGCUGAGAAUGCCCACAAUAGCCUAACUGUGGAAAGAGCCGAGACGUCCAUCAACAGAUGACUGGCUAAGAGGGUGUGAUAUCCACGUACACAAUGGAAUAUUCCUCAGCCAUCAGAAUGGACGGAUACCUACCGUUUGCAUCAAUGUGGAUGGAACUGGAGGGCAUUAUGCUGAGUGACGUAAGUCAGUCAGAGAAAGACAAUUAUCUUAUGGUUUCACUCAGGUGUGGAAUAGAAGAAACAGCACAGAGGAUCGUAGGGGAAGGGAGGGAAACCUGGAUGGCAGUCAUCAGGGAGGGAGAAAAACCACGAGAGACUCCUAUCUAACUGUAGGAAACAACUGAGGGACUCUGGAAGGGAGGUGGGUGGAGGGGAUGGGGUCACUGGGUGACGGGCAUGAAGGAGGGCACGUGAUGGGAUGAGCACUGGAUGUUAUACAAAACUGAUGAAUUACUGAACUCAUGUCUGAACCAAUGAGGGACCAUAUGUUGGCUAAUUGAAUUUAAAUUAAAAAAAAAAAAAGAAGAAGAAGGAACUGAUGCCAAGAGAUGAAGUGUGCCUUCACAAAACCCUAACUUUUGGGAUCCCUGGGUGGCUCAAUCCUGGGAUCGAGUCCCACGUGGGGCUCCCUGCAUGGAGCCUGCUUCUCCCUCUGCCUGUGUCUCUGUCUCUCUCUCUGGGUCUCUCAUGAAUAAAUAAAUAAAAUCUAAAAAAAAAAAAAACA
Molecule: long non-coding RNA, 1003 nt
Filed under: Vulpes vulpes (red fox)
Lineage: Eukaryota; Metazoa; Chordata; Mammalia; Carnivora; Canidae
Description: lncRNA (ENSVVUG00000025898.1)
Source: RNAcentral